CCCCUGUUCCAUGCCUUCACAGGUUGUGAUACUGUGUCCUAUUUUAACGGGAAAGGAAAAAAAGUGCAAUAGAUGCAUGGAACGCAUUUCCCAAUGCCACAGAAGGGUUUCUGGCAGCAUAUGAGGGGAGUACUAGCGAGGCGUUUACAGUAAUCGAAAAGUUUGUCGUCAUUUUAUAUGACAGAGCCAGUUCAUUUACAACCGUAAACGAAGCCCGAAAGCACCUAUUCUCGAAAAAAGACCGCCAAUUGGAGAAUAUACCUCCGACGAAAGCUGCUCUAUACCAGCAUUUCCUGCGGGCAGUGUUCCAAGCAGUCCAUGUAUGGGGUCAGAUGUCACCGAAUCAAAAUCUUCCCUGUCCAUCUAACUGGGGAUGGAGAAAAGUCAGUGAAAGCUGGCAACCUACAUGGACAGACUUGCCCGUAGCUGCAGAUGCAUGCCUGGAAAUGAUCCGGUGCAGAUGCAAAAAGAGGUGCGGCGGCUCGAGGUGCCAGUGCUUUCAGCGGCAACUUAAGUGCACGGAGCUUUGCGAUUGUGGGGGACAAUGUAAAUAAUAAACAUUUUUAAGUAAAAUUCUA
Molecule: long non-coding RNA, 578 nt
Organism: Cydia pomonella (codling moth)
Lineage: Eukaryota; Metazoa; Arthropoda; Insecta; Lepidoptera; Tortricidae
Exons: 2
Source: RefSeq, a predicted model, not a curated record